RNAcentral lists this ribosomal RNA (64 nucleotides) under uncultured bacterium. Its description in RNAcentral is "partial 16S ribosomal RNA". The record is from RNAcentral.
AGGGCUUGACAUUACAUGACCGCUAUAGAAAUAUAGUUUUCUCACUUCGGUGAGACAUGUGGAC